CCUACGGGUGGCAGCAGUGAGGAAUAUUGGUCAAUGGACGAGAGUCUGAACCAGCCAAGUAGCGUGAAGGAUGACUGCCCUAUGGGUUGUAAACUUCUUUUAUAUGGGAAUAAAACGUUCCACGUGUGGGAUUUUGUAUGUACCAUAUGAAUAAGGAUCGGCUAACUCCGUGCCAGCAGCCGCGGUAAUACGGAGGAUCCGAGCGUUAUCCGGAUUUAUUGGGUUUAAAGGGAGCGUAGGUGGAUUGUUAAGUCAGUUGUGAAAGUGUGCGGCUCAACCGUAAAAUUGCAGUUGAAACUGGCAGUCUUGAGUACAGUAGAGGUGGGCGGAAUUCGUGGUGUAGCGGUGAAAUGCUUAGAUAUCACGAAGAACUCCGAUUGCGAAGGCAGUUCACUGGACUGCAACUGACACUGAGGCUCGAAAGUGUGGGUAUCAAACAGGAUUAGAUACCCUUGUAGUC
RNAcentral lists this ribosomal RNA (460 nucleotides) under uncultured bacterium. RNAcentral's name for it is "partial 16S ribosomal RNA". It matches the Rfam family "Bacterial small subunit ribosomal RNA", at positions 338 to 795 of the family's 1533-position model. The record is from RNAcentral.